This 58-nucleotide microRNA precursor is filed under the name Echinops telfairi (small Madagascar hedgehog). Its description in RNAcentral is "Ete-Mir-1271_pre stem-loop". The record is from RNAcentral. Lineage: Eukaryota; Metazoa; Chordata; Mammalia; Afrosoricida; Tenrecidae.
CUUAGCACCGAGUAAGCACUCAGUAAGUACUUGGUGAGUGCUUGCUGGGUGCCAGGCA